GGGUGAGGGUCCCCACGUGUGGUGGGUGCUGUGUGCCCUGGGUGCUGCACACCUGGGCCUGGGGGGCUCACCCAGCCAAACAGGGUGUGCCACUGAUCACCUCUGCUCUUCCAUCCUCAGCCACAAUGCUGUCCACUGGACUUCCUUUCUGGAAUUUGUCUUUGUUCUGAUUUUGAUUUGUCUUUCUUGUUUUCCUCUUCCAGAACAGGGUGUUUCCCAGCACAGAGCUCUAGAGCAGAGCUGUCCCUCUUCUCCUCAUUGGCUGUCCUCUCCCACAGCAGCUGCUUCUUAAACAGGAAUCCAACUGAAGCAGCAAGUGACACUUGGCCAACAUGCAGCAAAGAUGCCACCCCAGCUGAUUUGCCAAGGCAGCAUUUUCUAGGGGAUGAAAGGAGAGUCCCAAGGCAUUGAUGCUAGAACAGAAAGUACUUCAGCUGGGCACUGGAGGCUGCUGAAAUCAGGAGCCGUGGGCCUUCCAGGAAAGGCAGGUUGGGAUGGUUUUCACCUGCUGCCACCUGCGGUGACAGCGUGUCCCUCUCACCACUGUGCUGCGGGGGUUUUCAUUGAGCACUAAGCACGUCCCUUCCAAGAGGUCUGUCAGAAGGGCAGUGAAGUUGGAAUCACUGCUUUAAUUCAUACGUGCUCUGCGUGGAGACAGCAGAUUCUAACAAUUCUGCUUUGAAUUGUGGCAAUGCCCAAGUUCGUGUUGUUUUUUCUCCCGCCUGAUUAACUUCAAUAGUAAGUUUGUAUCUUUAUUCAGACCACAGAGAGCAUGUUCUAAAUCAGCAGCAAAUUUGCAGCAACACACACACACACAUCACAAACUUUGCGUAUAUUUAUACACAUAAAACCUGGUUCCAACUGAAUGCUUAAUUAUUUAUAAAAUCGAAGUGUACAA
Long non-coding RNA from Apus apus (common swift), 898 nucleotides. RefSeq lists it as uncharacterized. The record is from RefSeq and is a predicted model, not a curated record. NCBI's taxonomy places the organism in Eukaryota, Metazoa, Chordata, Aves, Apodiformes, Apodidae. The transcript is spliced from 3 exons.